GACGAACGCUGGCGGCGUGCUUAACACAUGCAAGUCGAGCGGUAAGGCCCUUUCGGGGGUACACGAGCGGCGAACGGGUGAGUAACACGUGGGUGACCUGCCCUCAGCUCUGGGAUAAGCCUGGGAAACCGGGUCUAAAUACCGGAUAUGACUCCAUGACGCAUGUUGUGGGGUGGAAAGCCUUGUGCGGCUGAGGAUGGGCCCGCGGCCUAUCAGCUUGUUGGUGGGGUGAUGGCCUACCAAGGCGACGACGGGUAGCCGGCCUGAGAGGGCGACCGGCCACAC
This 285-nucleotide ribosomal RNA is filed under the name uncultured bacterium. Its description in RNAcentral is "partial 16S ribosomal RNA". It matches the Rfam family "Bacterial small subunit ribosomal RNA", at positions 28 to 313 of the family's 1533-position model. The record is from RNAcentral.